UUUUUUCCACAACUUUCACCUAUUAAUCUGGGAUUAGUACCAUGUGAUGUAACUGCAACUUUGAUCAUUCUUAAAAGGCAAGUAUCUAAAGGACAAGAAUUAAUGGGAAGAAAAAGAAAGAUGAAUGAAUAUUCAUGCAUGCAUUACUUAAAUGUAUGUGAUGUACUAAUAUAUUACAUUUAUGGGAAG
This is a long non-coding RNA of Sphaeramia orbicularis (orbiculate cardinalfish), 189 nucleotides long. RefSeq lists it as uncharacterized. NCBI's taxonomy places the organism in Eukaryota, Metazoa, Chordata, Actinopteri, Kurtiformes, Apogonidae. The record is from RefSeq and is a predicted model, not a curated record. The transcript is spliced from 3 exons.